This 500-nucleotide ribosomal RNA is filed under the name uncultured Desulfobulbus sp. RNAcentral's name for it is "bacterial SSU rRNA". It matches the Rfam family "Bacterial small subunit ribosomal RNA", at positions 888 to 1382 of the family's 1533-position model. The record is from RNAcentral. Lineage: Bacteria; Pseudomonadati; Thermodesulfobacteriota; Desulfobulbia; Desulfobulbales; Desulfobulbaceae.
CCCGCUCAGAAACUCAAAUGAAUUGACGGGGGCCCGCACAAGCGGUGGAGUAUGUGGUUUAAUUCGAUGCAACGCGAAGAACCUUACCUGGUCUUGACAUCCCAGAAAUCCCUUGGAAACUUGGGAGUGCUUCCAUUAGGAAGAAUCUGGAGACAGGUGCUGCAUGGCUGUCGUCAGCUCGUGUCGUGAGAUGUUGGGUUAAGUCCCGCAACGAGCGCAACCCUUGCCUUUAGUUGCCAGCAGUUCGGCUGGGCACUCUAAAGGGACUGCCGGUGUUAAACCGGAGGAAGGUGGGGAUGACGUCAAGUCCUCAUGGCCUUUAUGACCAGGGCUACACACGUACUACAAUGGCCGAUACAAAGGGCAGCGACAUCGCGAGGUGAAGCCAAUCCCAUAAAAUCGGUCUCAGUCCGGAUUGGAGUCUGCAACUCGACUCCAUGAAGUUGGAAUCGCUAGUAAUCGUGGAUCAGCAUGCCACGGUGAAUACGUUCCCGGGCCUU